CUACGGGGGGCAGCAGUCGAGAAAAUUCUGCAAUGUACGAAAGUAUGACAGAGCGAGCCAGAGUGUUUUUCCGUAUUGGAAAAACUUUUGUGAGAUGUAAAAAGUCUCACGAAUAAGGACUGGGUAAGACUGGUGCCAGCCGCCGCGGUAAUACCAGCGGUCCAAGUUGCAAUCACUUUUAUUGGGUCUAAAACAUCCGUAGCUUGUUGUAUAAGUCUCUUGUGAAAUCUCAAGUCUUAAGCUUGGAAGUGUGAGAGAUACUGUAUAACUAGAGACCGGGAGAGGUAAGGAGUACGGCUAGGGUAGCGGUAAAAUGUGUUGAUCCUUGCUGGACUAACAAUAGCGAAGGCACCUUACUAGAACGGAUCUGACAGUGAGGGAUGAAGGCUAGGGGCGCAAAACGGAUUAGAUACCCUAGUAGUC
RNAcentral lists this ribosomal RNA (423 nucleotides) under uncultured archaeon. RNAcentral's name for it is "partial 16S ribosomal RNA". It matches the Rfam family "Archaeal small subunit ribosomal RNA", at positions 323 to 746 of the family's 1478-position model. The record is from RNAcentral.